This 250-nucleotide ribosomal RNA is filed under the name uncultured Actinomycetales bacterium. Its description in RNAcentral is "partial 16S ribosomal RNA". It matches the Rfam family "Bacterial small subunit ribosomal RNA", at positions 87 to 339 of the family's 1533-position model. Lineage: Bacteria; Bacillati; Actinomycetota; Actinomycetes; Actinomycetales. The record is from RNAcentral.
GUGAAUUAGCGGCGAACGGGUGAGGAACACGUGAGGAAUCUGCCUUCAACACUGGGAUAACUCCGGGAAACCGGGGCUAAUACCGGAUACGAGCUCUGAUCGCAUGAUCGGGGCUGGAAAGUUUUUCGGUUGAAGAUGACCUCGCGGCCUAUCAGCUUGUUGGUGAGGUAAUGGCUCACCAAGGCGACGACGGGUAGCCGGCCUGAGAGGGCGACCGGCCACACUGGGACUGAGACACGGCCCAGACUCC